This 253-nucleotide ribosomal RNA is filed under the name uncultured bacterium. RNAcentral's name for it is "partial 16S ribosomal RNA". It matches the Rfam family "Bacterial small subunit ribosomal RNA", at positions 524 to 776 of the family's 1533-position model. The record is from RNAcentral.
GACAGAGGGUGCAAACGUUGUUCGGAAUUACUGGGCGUAAAGCGUGUGUAGGCGGCUUUGCAAGUCGGAUGUGAAAGCCCCGGGCUCAACCCGGGAAGUGCACUCGAUACUGCAGAGCUUGAGUGUGGGAGAGGUUGGUGGAAUUCUCGGUGUAGAGGUGAAAUUCGUAGAUAUGCGGAGGAACACCGAUGGCGAAGGCAAUCCCCUGGGCCUGCACUGACGCUCAUGCACGAAAGCGUGGGGAGCAAACAGG